UCAACUUGAGAGUUUGAUCCUGGCUCAGAACGAACGCUGGCGGCAGGCCUAACACAUGCAAGUCGAGCGCAUCCUUCGGGAUGAGCGGCGGACGGGUUAGUAACGCGUGGGAAUAUACCCUUCUCUACGGAAUAGCCUUUGGAAACGAAGAGUAAUACCGUAUACGCCCUUCGGGGGAAAGAUUUAUCGGAGAGGGAUUAGCCCGCGUUGGAUUAGGUAGUUGGUGAGGUAACGGCUCACCAAGCCUACGAUCCAUAGCUGGUUUGAGAGGAUGAUCAGCAACACUGGGACUGAGACACGGCCCAGACUCCUACGGGAGGCAGCAGUGGGGAAUCUUAGACAAUGGGCGCAAGCCUGAUCUAGCCAUGCCGCGUGAGUGAAGAAGGCCUUAGG
Molecule: ribosomal RNA, 393 nt
Filed under: Marinosulfonomonas sp.
Lineage: Bacteria; Pseudomonadati; Pseudomonadota; Alphaproteobacteria; Rhodobacterales; Paracoccaceae
Description: bacterial SSU rRNA
Rfam family: Bacterial small subunit ribosomal RNA
Source: RNAcentral